GCUGGAGUGGCGGAACGGGAGACGCAGCGUGCUCAAACCACGUGGCCCUCGGGCGUGCAGGUUCGACUCCUGCCUCCAGCA
RNAcentral lists this transfer RNA (81 nucleotides) under Polyangiaceae bacterium LLY-WYZ-15_(1-7). Its description in RNAcentral is "tRNA-Leu". It matches the Rfam family "tRNA". From Rfam's summary of the family: Transfer RNA (tRNA) molecules are approximately 80 nucleotides in length. Their secondary structure includes four short double-helical elements and three loops (D, anti-codon, and T loops). Further hydrogen bonds mediate the characteristic L-shaped molecular structure. tRNAs have two regions of fundamental functional importance: the anti-codon, which is responsible for specific mRNA codon recognition, and the 3' end, to which the tRNAs corresponding amino acid is attached (by aminoacyl-tRNA synthetases). tRNAs cope with the degeneracy of the genetic code in two manners: having more than one tRNA (with a specific anti-codon) for a particular amino acid; and 'wobble' base-pairing, i.e. permitting non-standard base-pairing at the 3rd anti-codon position. The record is from RNAcentral. Lineage: Bacteria; Pseudomonadati; Myxococcota; Polyangiales; Polyangiaceae.